ACUCCUACGGGAGGCAGCAGUGGGGAAUAUUGCACAAUGGGGAAACCCUGAUGCAGCCAUGCCGCGUGUGUGAAGAAGGCCUUCGGGUUGUAAAGCACUUUCAGUAGGGAGGAAGGUAGUGUAGUUAACACCUGCACUAUUUGACGUUACCUACAGAAGAAGCACCGGCUAACUCCGUGCCAGCAGCCGCGGUAAUACGGAGGGUGCGAGCGUUAAUCGGAAUUACUGGGCGUAAAGCGCAUGCAGGCGGCCUGUUAAGUCAGAUGUGAAAGCCCGGGGCUUAACCUCGGAAUUGCAUUUGAAACUGGCAGGCUAGAGUCUUGUAGAGGGGGGUAGAAUUUCAGGUGUAGCGGUGAAAUGCGUAGAGAUCUGAAGGAAUACCAGUGGCGAAGCGGCCCCCUGGACAAAGCUGACGCUCAGAUGCGAAAGCGUGGGGA
This 437-nucleotide ribosomal RNA is filed under the name uncultured bacterium. RNAcentral describes it as "bacterial SSU rRNA". It matches the Rfam family "Bacterial small subunit ribosomal RNA", at positions 335 to 767 of the family's 1533-position model. The record is from RNAcentral.